RNAcentral lists this long non-coding RNA (466 nucleotides) under Populus trichocarpa (black cottonwood). Its description in RNAcentral is "long non-coding RNA (PTRI_LNC000912)". The record is from RNAcentral. Lineage: Eukaryota; Viridiplantae; Streptophyta; Magnoliopsida; Malpighiales; Salicaceae.
UACACGGAUUUUGCAUCCCCGACAUUUGUCACUGUCCUAAUAAAAUGUGUAGACAUCUGAUGCUUGCCAUACUGUUGGAACACAACAGAUAAUGAAGGGUAAUUCAAGUUCCCUGCAUGGCCUGCCCUUUUAGCUCCACUGCAAUCUGCAUUCCUCCUAGUGACCACUUGAAUGUUGUUAAGUGUAUAAUUUGAAUUGCAGAGAAAAUCUAUAUAAUCAAAAGAUGUAAUAUCAUAGAUCAACCCAGGAUCCAUGGCCUUUUGUGGGUGAACAUGGCCAGCACCGAAAUCUAACACAGUAGAAACAUUUCCAGUAGACUCAUCAAGCAUUGUUCCGCCUCGAUUAUCAACUGUAUAAGCAGUUGUCAUCAAGGCCGACCUUAUUGCUGCCGGACUCCAUUCAGGGUGAGCUGCCUUUAACAAAGCAGCUAACCCGGAAACAUGUGGACAAGCCAUUGAUGUACCUG